AUUCUUUUCAUUGUGGAUAAGCGGAAGGUGUGUUUUUUUACUAAUUUUUUCAUUCUGAAUGCGAAACAUGACCUGAAAAAAAAUCUUAUUCGAGGUUUUCUAUGAUCUUUGAUGAAAUUCGCGUUGGAAGUUCUCUUUCUUUGAUUGAAGUGCUGAGAAUAUGUUGUGGCAGUUCCAGUUUAAUUAACAUUAGUCACAUAUAUUUAUUUCUCAGAACUGAUGAGUAUGAAGGUAGAGAAGAUGCCAGCAGUGGGAGUCUGGUGUAACUCACCUCCACAAGAUGCAUCGGCAUUUUACUAAUAAUAAUACGGCGAUGGCGCAUAGAGUAUGCCUUUUACGUGUUUCUAAGUCUGAAUUAUUGCUUAUUGCUAGUGUUUUCCUUUCCUUAGGAGGGAGCUUUUCGGGGAUUUUAUACAAAAAAGCCCGUCAUUUUGAUAUAUAUAUAUCCAGUCUUUAGAUUAUUCGUUUAUAUGGCACCAAUGGUUGAGAACCACAAUUUUUCUUGGACACGUUCUUUGACUUGCGGGAGUUAGAGACUCUGAUCAGGAUAGGAUGAAGAAAUAAAGAGAAACUAAAGGUAUGAAUUUUAUUUAAUGGCAUGAAAUAACCGGAUUAUGAGAGUCCCAGCAGGCAUUUAACUUGCAUCAAAUAUUUUAUCAUCUCGCUUGUAUGGACAUCUUCUGCAUGCUUUGCUCAUUUUCUUUCUUGAAUGCAAUUUUUAUGAGGCAUCAUCUCAUGCGGCAUGCCUGCUUGUCUAAUCUGGGUAAUCUGGGUUUUAUCCUGCAGUUCUGAGAGAGGAUCACAGGCAUGAUGGCUCUUUCAUCAUCUGCUGGUCCUGGCCCAGAUAUUGGCCGGACCUGUGGUGGGGUUUCUCAUCAAGUUGACGAUUGGAGCGUGCUCAAUCAUUAAAGCUAUCUAUGAUGAAUAUUUCUAUUAAUCAUAUGAGGAUCACCGUUGAAAAGUGGCUCCUUCUUAGUUCGUGGGUUGAAGUAUUUUCAAGGAAGGGAUGAGGGUAUGAUCUGCAACAGACUUGAAAACAGUCUCCCUUCAGCUCCUAUCCAUAAACUUUCACAUUUAUGGGAACCCAUUCUUCUCAAGAUGCCCAUUGAUUCGGCAUAGGAUUUAAUGGAAAGAGAACCACAAGAAAGAUCAAAUCCAUCAAUGGGAAUGGGUGAAGCUCCUGCUCAACGAUUGGUCCCUACUUUUGUUAAUUUUAGGAGAUAUAUGUUGUUUAUUUUGUCGUAGGAUUUAG
This 1252-nucleotide long non-coding RNA is filed under the name Spirodela polyrhiza (greater duckweed). RNAcentral describes it as "long non-coding RNA (SPOL_LNC000488)". Lineage: Eukaryota; Viridiplantae; Streptophyta; Magnoliopsida; Alismatales; Araceae. The record is from RNAcentral.